UUCACUUUCAGCAUAAUGCCUUGGAUCCCUAACAACAUGACGCUGGAAGCAGUGGCCACAACACACUUUUAGACCUGUUUUAAUGGCAUGAGAGUACAGAUCGUGCAGGUGAAAGACUCAACAACACAUUUUCCAGCCUAACAGCAACCUCAAGAGGCCUACAAUGUGCAGGAAGUGCAGAAAGCAAGUGUCUCGCGACUUGUUUGAUAGAGAAUGUCUUUAGACUGCGCACCUACCCAACAGAAGCAGAGUUCAGGGACAUAGACAGCAGAAGAAAAGAAAUUUAUACAGGUUUGGAACAACUUGAGGGUAUCUCUCAGCCCAGCCCGCUUCGCCCUUUUCUGCCUGUUCCGUUCCAGCCUGUCUUUCGCUCAUGUUCUGGUUGUUUAACCGCCACAGUUUGUAUCUUUCGCUCCUUUGGUUUACCGCCCCAGGUAACCAUGCCAUCCAGGCACUGUCGGUUGCCAGCCGACUUUUUUCUUUUGUGUCCAACCGUCUCUCUCUUUGGUUUACCGCCCCAAGUAACCAUGCCAUCCAGACACUGUCGGUUGCCAGCCGACAUUCUUUCUUUGGUUUACUGCCCCAGGUAACCAUGCCAUCCAGGCACUGUCGGUUGCCAGCCGACUCUGUUGAGGUGGGGUUUGAACCCAUACCUCUAUGAUCAUCUUGUCCGCAACUAACGUGUGUUUAGCCACUAGGACCAUCGUGGCUUUCACACCGAGAGUUGACAUUUGGGCCACUUUGUCGGAUAUAGUGUAGUUUACAACAAUUUAAUGUAAGCAAGAGGUAGACUCGAACCCGGGUCUCCAAGAUUAAAACGCAACAUUUUAUAAGCUGAGCUACAGAGUCCAGCGAGAUUUUCGAUGCUUUGGGCGAGGCUUUAUUGAUAGGUUUGUUUUAUUAGAUAAAAAAGCAUUAAGUAUUGUUGGAUUCGAACCUACACCUCUAGCGUUGGCUUUUACUUCGAAAGCAUACGCUUAACCACUAGCGCCACUGUGGCUUUCAUAUUGAGUAGUGGCGUUUAUGCCACUACUCAAUAUAGAUAUAAUGACAAAAAUGUAACAAGCAAUAGGUGGACUUGAACCCGGGUCUCCAAGAUUAAAACGCAACUCUUUAUGAUUUGCGCCACAAAGUCUGACAGUUUCGUGGUUGUUUUGGACGGGGUUUUAUUGAGAGGUUUGUUUUAUAAGAUAACAAACAUAAGUGAUUGAAGGAUUCGAACCUACAUCUCUAUUGUAGACUUUUACUCAGAAAACGCACGCUUAACCACUUGCACCACUGUGGCCUUCACGAUAAGCGUUGGCAUUUAGGAUGCUUUGUUAGAUAUGAUGACAAAAUAUGUAACGUAAACAAUAGGUGGAUUCGAACCCGGGUCUCCAAGAUAAAUAUGCAACACUUUAUGACCUGUGCCACCAAGUCUGGCGAAUUUAUGAUGGUUUUGGACGGGGUUUUAUUGAGAGGUUUGUUUUAUAAGAUGACAAUUAUAAGCGAUUGAAGGAUUUGAACCUACAAAAAUGUAACGUAAGCAAUAGGUGGAUUCGAACCCUGGUCUCUAAGAUUAAAACGCAACACUUUAAACACUGCGCCACCGAGUCUGGUGAUUUCAUGUUUUGUUUGGACAGGGUUUUAUUGAAAGCUUUGUUUUAUAAGAUGAUAAGUAUAAGCAAUCAAAAGAUUCGAACCUACGUCUCUAUUAUAGCCUUUUAUUCAGGAAGCACGCACUUAACCACUUGCACCACUGUGGCCUUCACGUUAAUUGUUGGCGUUUAGGGCGCUUUGUUAGAUAUAACGACAAAAAUGUAACGUAAGCAAUAGGUGGAUUCGAACCCCGAUCUCCAAGAUAAAAACACAACACUUUAUAAACUGUGCCAUAGAGUCUGGCAAGUUUGUGUUAGUUUUGGGCAGGGUUUUAUUGAGAGCUUUGUUUUAAAACUUAAAAACAUAAGCAACUGAGGGAUUAACUUAGUUAAAUUCGAAAAAAAAACUUAAGCUUUACGCCACUGAGUUUGACACAAGUAUUUUGUUUUGAAAGCUUUUAUAUUGUCUUGUCACAUGAAAACUUGAGCCAAAGGUGUGACAGCUUGUAAAUUUGUAAAUGUCUUUGUUUCAAAACCGCUUUUUUUUUUUUUUGAGUUUUGUCUAAGACUUUUCAAUAAAAAAAGAUUGAAGAUGAGAUAAGGUCAUUUUUCCCCAAAGUUAAGCAACAAGUUGUCAAUAAAGCAAAUCACCAAAUCUGAAAAGAAAAUAAUAUAGAUAUUUGCUGAAUUGAUACUUGCUUGCUUUAAAACAGUUGUACAAACCCCAUAUCUUAAUACUAAACAGCACUGAGAAUGUUUUUAAACAGAUUUCAUGUCUCAUGGCGCUCAUGUUUUUAAAACCAAAGAUGAUUCAAAAGAAUCAAGAUUCAUUGUUAAUGAAUCAAGAUUCGAAACAGUGUGCAGGAUACUCAUUUCACACAUAAACCACAAUGAUGGUGACAAGUAAAUCACUAAGGGUACAACUGUACUCAAACAUCUCAUCACAUGACACAACCCAACAAAAACAACAACUUAAGUGCAAACAAUGCAAUAAACAGUAAAAAUUUUCACUAAUAUACAUUUUAGUCAUGCCACAAUGCAUGCUGGGAAAAAUCCAACACCCAGCACCACAGAAAUUACUUUUUUUUUUUUUUUAUUGUAUUCAUUGAUGAAUUAAACUGUAUAACUGACUGAUUGUUUCAUUUGCUUUCAGGUUCUUGGAUGCUUCAUUUAGAUGAACAUCACUGGGAUGCAUAUGCUGAUGUAAUUCCCAAUACCUCUUCAUGAGUUUUCUGUCAACACUCAAAAAUGCAUCAACUGCACGCCACCCAGUGGUGUAAUGGUGUAAUGGUAAGGAGUGAAUAAAUCUGUGAACGAAUUUGAACAAAUCUUUUUAGUGAAUACAAGAGAACGAUUCAAGUAAAAUGAAUCAAAAUCAACACCACUAAUAUUUUAGCAUGCAGUGCUUGUGAACCAAAACAAAUUACUUGUGUAUGUGAGCAUACUUGGCCAAUAAAACUUUUUUUCUGA
Ctenopharyngodon idella (grass carp) is the source of this 3047-nucleotide long non-coding RNA. RefSeq lists it as uncharacterized. Lineage: Eukaryota; Metazoa; Chordata; Actinopteri; Cypriniformes; Xenocyprididae. The transcript has 4 exons. The record is from RefSeq and is a predicted model, not a curated record.